Molecule: long non-coding RNA, 813 nt
Filed under: Lepisosteus oculatus (spotted gar)
Lineage: Eukaryota; Metazoa; Chordata; Actinopteri; Semionotiformes; Lepisosteidae
Description: lncRNA (ENSLOCG00000023226.1)
Source: RNAcentral
GAGCGAGCGUGUUGUUUCCUCGAUACUGCUACGUGAAUAAAUCGAUGUCAGUUUUUGCAGGAAGCUGUGCUCAAAGAGGCGAGAUGGGCCACAGAGCCUUGAAGGCAGAGACCUGUGUGACUGUGACCUCCAGAUGGGAGACACUGUUUCUAAGCAAAGGUGGCAAGGAUGCUAUGGAUGAACAAAACAACAGAGAGGAGAGGCACAGCUUAUUCCUGAAUAAUGUGACUGGGAUCCAUUGAUUUUGACAAGAAGGGCACAACAGAUCACCUUACAUGUUUUUUAUGCAAUAACAGUCUGAGAUCAAAUGGAUUAUUCAAAUGGACCUAAACAUCGAAUGCUGUAUUAUUUUCUUUACAUUCUUAUGCUGUUUAUGUUUUUUUAGGACACAAAUCAAGAUGUGACUUUUGAGUGCAACAAAGCCUGAAGUCCGUUUUUACUGUUAAAAUGAUCUGUAAAGGGCUUCUCUGUCCAUCUGCAAGGAGAUGAGUAGUUUUAAAAUUCUUGACUGACACAACAACAUUUCCACAAAUAAAACAGUGAAAAUACUGUAUGGUGAAAUCCUGUAUGUAAUCUAGGCCAAACCUGGGUGUUCCUAACGAGAGUGAAUUCAUGUAUAUUUCUGUGAAUAGAUGUGUGCUAUUCUUGCUAAUGGAUUUGUUUGAAAUGCUUGCCAUGUGUUCUAACCUUAUUUUAAACCCAUGUUGGGACCCCUACAGUACCCAGAAAAGACCACUGAUACACAUGUUUUCUUUGGGACAAGGUGUCAAGCUGGUCAUUGUCUUAUUUUUCACUGAAAGAUUUUAAAUCUGA